UUUCUUUUGAACUAGACCACCAUUUUUACCUUGUGGGUGAAUUAGCUUAAUAUUCAUUUUAAAAAAACCUAUGAAGAUUAUAGCACUAUAACAUAAAAAAAUAAAGGAAGUAACCAUCUUAGACCAUGUUUAAUAGUGACACUCAUUAAAGUGUCUAAAACUAUUAUGUCUUACAUGAAUUUAUUUUUUUAGACACCCACAAAA
RNAcentral lists this long non-coding RNA (204 nucleotides) under Capsella rubella. RNAcentral describes it as "long non-coding RNA (CRUB_LNC002246)". Lineage: Eukaryota; Viridiplantae; Streptophyta; Magnoliopsida; Brassicales; Brassicaceae. The record is from RNAcentral.